This is a long non-coding RNA of Ictalurus punctatus (channel catfish), 868 nucleotides long. The record is from Ensembl. Lineage: Eukaryota; Metazoa; Chordata; Actinopteri; Siluriformes; Ictaluridae.
UAUCCACGUCACGAGCACCGGGAAGUCUCGCGCGUCUUUCAGCUAGACACAUCAGCACUGCAGUGAAUCUAGAACACUCAGCCUCUUUGUGUGUAUGUGUCUGUAUGUCUGUCUACCGGGCGUCGUUCCCACGCCGACACCGAUGACGUUUAAUUAGUGUGCACACACGCAAUUACACAGAGAGAAAGAGAUAGAGAGAAAGGAGAAAGAAAAUGGGUAACGCACGUGCUCUUACCGGAAUGAAGCAGUCUCGCGCGCCGGUUUGGGUGCAGGGAGAAGCGCCGGAUGUCUCCCAGUGACGACCCUGUGGCUCUCUGUUACCAGCAGCAACAUUCACAGGCGGAGCUUUGGAUCCGGAGAAUCCUGGCUAUCCACAGCUGGUGCAGGUGUCCUCAGAUGUGUCCUCAGGCGUGGUGUUACGGUGUCUAGCCCCCCAGGGUCACAGUGGCCGAGUGUUUGAGCUCUACCACGUGCGCACACUCAAACUCUUGGUACAGUUUGACACAGGGCGCUCGUACGCCGACUUUCAGCUCAACACCAGCACUUCAGAUUCCGAGGAUAUCUACUGCUGCCGCUACGACCACAGCGGGUUCAGCAAGUACACCAGGCCCACUCCUCCACCAAGUACGUCUCCCACCUGUCUCACUACGACCACAGCAGGUUCAGCCCCUAUACCUGUCUCACUCCUCCACCAUGUACGCCUCAUUCCUUUCUCACACCUGUCUCACUAUGACCACACCAUGUUCAGCCUGUACAACCAGCUCACUUCUCCACCACGUACGUCUCACACCUGUCUCACUACGACCGCAGCAUGUUCAGCCCCUAUACCUGUCUCACUCCUCCACCAUGUAUGUCUCAGUCCUCUCUC